Monodelphis domestica (gray short-tailed opossum) is the source of this 883-nucleotide non-coding RNA. The record is from RefSeq and is a predicted model, not a curated record. NCBI's taxonomy places the organism in Eukaryota, Metazoa, Chordata, Mammalia, Didelphimorphia, Didelphidae.
GGUCUUGUGACUAGCACUUCCUUCCUGCCGGGAGUGGCAGUUGGGUCUUGUGACUAGCACUUCCUUCCUGCCGGGAGUGGCAGUUGGGUCUUGUGACUAGCACUUCCUUCCUGCAGGCUUCCUGGUGUUGGAGGAGAGAGGAGCUUGUUCAGCCCAGUCUGGAGUGGCAUGCUCUUCUUGGUUCAGCCCAAAGACACAGGCUUCUGAAGUGGAAAGUAAUUGGUUUCCCCUGAGUGCGGUCUGCUUUAUUGACCACAACAGUAAGAUAUGACUGCAGUAAUAAGAAUGAAGCGAGAAAAUGAUUAGCAGUACUCUCCUGGCCCAUAGCAAGUGUUUUUAUGACACCUUCUCACCUCUUUUCAUCUGUUGAGUGAAAGAAAAGAAGUCCCUUGCAAAACAUGAAAACUUAAUGGCUACAAUUGGCCAGUAUCUUUGGGGAUAAUCCAGGAGCUUGGUUCUGUGAGAUAAAAGGACUCUUCCCACAUCUAGACUUAUGAAACUUCUUGAAAUCUGUUUGAUUCUCUUGUCUUCUCCUGUGGUUCCAGAUGAUGACAUUGAGACAUUUAGGGCUGCCAAACAAAGGUAAGAAUUUACUUUUUCAUAUUCAUGUUACAAAACCAGUAUUGACAAAGAAGUAACAAAUUAGAAAGGAGGAGGCAAUAAAUUUCACUAAGUGAAAAUCUGUGAAUUGCAUUAUCCAGUCAUAUAAUAUUUAAUAUAACCAUUUAGUGGUGGUUUGAAGUUUAAAUUUGAAUUUACUCCUUACUAUUUAUAUGUUUACAUUCUUUUCCUACUGCAUGUUUUGAGCUGAAAAAAUACAACCUAUUAGAAAUAAUAUUCAACCUAACAAUCUCUCUCACUCUCUCUCUCUCUCUCUCUCUCU